GACGAACGCUGGCGGCGUGCCUAACACAUGCAAGUCGAACGGGGGUAGCAAUACCUCAGUGGCGAACGGGUGCGUAACACGUGAAGAAUUUGUCCAACGGCGGGGGAUAGCCGGCCCAACGGCCGGGUAAUACCGCGUACGACCUCUGGGGGCAUCCCUGGAGGUGAAAGCCGCAAGGCGCCGAUGGAGAACUUCGCGGCCUAUCAGCUAGUUGGUGAGGUCAUGGCUCACCAAGGCGACGACGGGUAGCUGGUCCGAGAGGAUGACCAGCCACAUUGGGACUGAGACACGGCCCAGACUCCUACGGGAGGCAGCAGUGGGGAAUAUUGCGCAAUGGGCGAAAGCCUGACGCAGCGACGCCGCGUGUGGGAUGACGGCCUUCGGUUGUAACC
Molecule: ribosomal RNA, 392 nt
Filed under: uncultured bacterium
Lineage: Bacteria
Description: bacterial SSU rRNA
Rfam family: Bacterial small subunit ribosomal RNA
Source: RNAcentral